Molecule: long non-coding RNA, 903 nt
Filed under: Ovis aries (sheep)
Lineage: Eukaryota; Metazoa; Chordata; Mammalia; Artiodactyla; Bovidae
Description: lncRNA (ENSOARG00000025821.1)
Source: RNAcentral
AUGAGUUCAUCUACGCUCCCUACGCUCGUCCAGGAUUCGCCGCCGGCUGGCUCAGAGGGAAGCCACGAGACGGAAGGAGCCCGCCUAGAUUCUGGCCUGUCUGGCCUAGACAAGCCUGCCCCCCUUCCCGCAUUCCCAGUCUCUAAAGCGUUCCGUCCUCUCCUUUUCGAUUCGCCUUUCGCCACAGGCGCCCAAGGCUUACGUUUUGAGGCUAGUCCACUCCAGGUUACCUCUCAUGGAAAAGUUCUCUCUUACCAGGGCAGAGCCGGAUUCCGGAGACGGUGGAAAUCGCUUCACAGGUUCCUCUCUCAGCGUUCUCGGCUCUGCUUCACCUGCAGCUGCCAACGAAUUCACCGACUCCCGGCAUGCCCCGCGCAGGCACCGCCUCCCCACCCCCACCCCCUCCCCGCCCCUCUCCCGCCCAAACACGUGACCUCCUUUAGCCUCCGUCCACGCCCACUUCCGUUCCUCCACUUUCCCUUAGGAGGGAGGAGGGGACUGGGGGUGUUAAAGAGUAGCGACUUCCUCCUACUCUCCGCCCCCGCCUCUCUACCCCCUGCUACAAUGUCUUCCGGGUCGCGAUCGCCUCGGAGCCUUCUGGGAAACCAUCUCAUUUCCUCCCCUCCCCCUCCUCCUGCCUUCAACCAACCAGCCUCCCGUCAGAGAGGGACAUGCGCAAUGAAUAUUGAGGAUAUCAUUUUCUGCAUGUGGGAAGUAGAUAUUGAAGGUUAUCUGGUUUACAGACAAGAUCUUUAAAAAGUAGACACUGAAGGACCAGGGAAAUAAAUACAAGAAGACAAGAACACAGAAUAUUAGAAGUGUAAUCCUGCUCUAAUUUCAUCAAACACAAAGGAAUGACUACCUUGACAGAUGGCCACAGAGGAUGUCAACAACUUUUUGGAG